RNAcentral lists this ribosomal RNA (496 nucleotides) under uncultured bacterium. RNAcentral describes it as "partial 16S ribosomal RNA". It matches the Rfam family "Bacterial small subunit ribosomal RNA", at positions 28 to 506 of the family's 1533-position model. The record is from RNAcentral.
GAUGAACGCUGGCGGCGUGCCUAAUACAUGCAAGUCGAGCGAACAGACGAGGAGCUUGCUCCUCUGACGUUAGCGGCGGACGGGUGAGUAACACGUGGAUAACCUACCUAUAAGACUGGGAUAACUUCGGGAAACCGGAGCUAAUACCGGAUAAUAUAUUGAACCGCAUGGUUCAAUAGUGAAAGACGGUUUUGCUGUCACUUAUAGAUGGAUCCGCGCCGCAUUAGCUAGUUGGUAAGGUAACGGCUUACCAAGGCAACGAUGCGUAGCCGACCUGGGAGGGUGAUCGGCCCAACGGGAACUGAGACACGGCCCAAACUCCAACGGGAGGCAGCAGUGGGGAAUUUUCCGCAAGGGGCGAAAGCCUGACGGAGCAACCCCGGGUGGGUGAUGAAGGUCUUCGGAUCGUAAAACUCUUUUUUUGGGGAAGAAAAAAUGUGUAAGGAAUUAUGCACGUCUUGACGGUACCAAUGCAAAAAGCCACGGCUAACUACGU